GACAGAGGAUGCAAGCGUUAUCCGGAAUGAUUGGGCGUAAAGCGUCUGUAGGUGGUUUUUUAAGUCUGCGGUUAAAGCGUGUAGCUUAACUACAUAACAGCCGUGGAAACUGAAAGACUAGAGGCAAGUAGGGGUAGAGGGAAUUCCCAGUGUAGCGGUGAAAUGCGUAGAGAUUGGGAAGAACACCGGUGGCGAAAGCGCUCUACUGGACUUGAACUGACACUGAGGGACGAAAGCUAGGGGAGCGAAAGGG
RNAcentral lists this ribosomal RNA (253 nucleotides) under uncultured prokaryote. RNAcentral describes it as "partial 16S ribosomal RNA". It matches the Rfam family "Bacterial small subunit ribosomal RNA", at positions 524 to 776 of the family's 1533-position model. The record is from RNAcentral.